Molecule: non-coding RNA, 227 nt
Organism: Caenorhabditis elegans
Lineage: Eukaryota; Metazoa; Nematoda; Chromadorea; Rhabditida; Rhabditidae
Source: Ensembl
CAGUGGAUCAGUCAACAUAGCAACCUACGACAUUGAAAAGUCAGUGAACAUUGCUGGCAGUGAAAAAGCAAAAACUUGUAGAUCUAACGUCAAGCUCAAGUAUAUCACAUAGAGGAGAAGAUGAGUGGGAGUUGGGAAGACAGUACACACUGUGUGGAGAGAACGUGUGCAAGUAGACUCCUCGCCCCGAGCAAAGUAAUCAGUUUGGUUCGAGAGGACCCGUGGCU